UACGUAGGGGGCAAGCGUUGUCCGGAAUCAUUGGGCGUAAAGCGCGUGUAGGCGGCCCGGUAAGUCCGCUGUGAAAGUCGGGGGCUCAACCCUCGAAUGCCGGUGGAUACUGUCGGGCUAGAGUGCGGGAGAGGCGAGUGGAAUUCCUGGUGUAGCGGUGAAAUGCGCAGAUAUCAGGAGGAACACCGAUGGCGAAGGCAGGUCUCUGGGCAUUAACUGACGCUGAGGAGCGAAAGCAUGGGGAGCGAACAGG
Molecule: ribosomal RNA, 253 nt
Filed under: uncultured bacterium
Lineage: Bacteria
Description: partial 16S ribosomal RNA
Rfam family: Bacterial small subunit ribosomal RNA
Source: RNAcentral